CCGAUGCCCAGGAAAUCCCACCUGAACAUGGGGAAGAACUUCUUUCCCGUGUAGUGACUGAAUGCUGGAACAGGUUGCUCAGAGAAGAAAUAGUAAGCAGUGUAACUAAGCAUCUGUCAGGUGUUUGCUCUCUCAUCUUCCCAAGGGCAGAAGCAAGACUGUGUGUGUAAGGGGAAGCAGAUGGCAGGGAAAGCACACUUCCUCUACACACUUGAUUGCUUGUUUGCAAAUGGGAAGCGCUUUUUAUGGAGCACCCAGAUGGUACAACAUGCUUGUCAUUAUUGUCCAAACAUGAGCAG
Molecule: long non-coding RNA, 299 nt
Organism: Lepidothrix coronata (blue-crowned manakin)
Lineage: Eukaryota; Metazoa; Chordata; Aves; Passeriformes; Pipridae
Exons: 3
Source: RefSeq, a predicted model, not a curated record